This 253-nucleotide ribosomal RNA is filed under the name uncultured bacterium. RNAcentral describes it as "partial 16S ribosomal RNA". It matches the Rfam family "Bacterial small subunit ribosomal RNA", at positions 524 to 776 of the family's 1533-position model. The record is from RNAcentral.
UACAGAGGGUGCAAGCGUUGUUCGGAAUUACUGGGCGUAAAGGGCUCGUAGGCGGCCAACUAAGUCGGAUGUGAAAUCCCCAGGCUUAACCUGGGAACUGCAUCCGAUACUGGAUGGCUUGAAUCCGGGAGAGGGAUGCAGAAUUCCAGGUGUAGCGGUGAAAUGCGUAGAUAUCGGGAGGAACACCUGUGGCGAAAGCGGCGCACUGGACCACAACUGACGCUGAGGCGCGAAAGCUAGGGGAGCAAACAGG